GAGCUCACUUUAGCAGCACAUAUAUUAAAACUGGAACAAAACAGAAAAGAUUAGCAUGGCCCCUGUGUAAUAAUGACAUGAGGAUCGGAGAGAUAGCUCAGUAGAAU
This is a small nuclear RNA of Octodon degus (degu), 107 nucleotides long. NCBI's taxonomy places the organism in Eukaryota, Metazoa, Chordata, Mammalia, Rodentia, Octodontidae. The record is from Ensembl.